CCUUUCCUGCUCCCUGCCGUCGCCCUCUCUCUACAUAGAACACCACCCGACCGACUCCCCCACCGUGCUCCUCGUCCCCAUCCGCCGCCGCCGCCGCCUGUGCCACGGGGGCCGCUACCUCGCCGCCCUCUUCCUCCUUGCGCUCGCAGGCUUCCUCCUCAGGCCCGCUAACCCGGAUGUCAGCCUGGGGCAGGGGCGGCGCAAGGUGGCCGAGCAGCACGGGGCGGGAUCAGCUCAGUAGCGGCGGCGCAAAGGGCACAAGAACUCAAACUUAUCCAAGCUGCGGGGUGAGCAAGAUGACAAGGGAAGAUGAUGGUGGCGCGGCCCCUCUCAGCUCUCUCCUCAGAUCUGUUAAGGCGGCGAGGAACCACGACAAGCCCACGCUCGAGCAGGCCCAGGUGCUUCCCCAUGACAACUCUGCUGCGAGCGGCAGUUUCCUUCCCUCCCACCUCAGACUUGAUUAGAUUCGUCCAUGUUUCUUUUUUGGAUGUAGCGAACCAUUCAAAUAAGACAUGGGAUCAAAUGACAAAGAGCAUAAUACAAGUUGCUGCUCCAAGAAGAACAAGGGGAGAGAACACAAAUUUCUCUCACGGGUCUUGAUUUCACCCAUCAAUUGCGUCCUGUGAGAGGAAUAUUGAUAACCGAGGCUGCUUGUUUCGAUUUCCUCCUCUAUGACCUGAUCUGAUUGCUUGAUGAUUUAAUUUUCAAUCUUACAGUUCAUACUUCAAAGUUCAUGAUUUUGGUUAAGCGAUUUAAUGCCAGAUUUUUGCAAUGCUUGAAUAGGGUUCCAUGUUAGCUACCUUUGUAGGGAUAAUCCUAUAGGUUUAGUUUGUAGAACUUCUACAUGUGACCUUUACUUCCAUUACGCUCAAGUCACAUAUUGUAAACCGAAAGCGUAACUGUUUUUUUUGUCAGGCUCAAAACCAUACUAGCAGCCUUUUGUUCCAAACCUCAAACUGUGUUCUUGCUACAUGGAUUUAAAAUGAAGGGAACAACUAGGACAUAGAAUUCAAAUUAUCAAAUGUUUCUUUGUACAAUCAGAGUAAUAAAAGUAUAAAAUUGAUCUCA
Molecule: long non-coding RNA, 1068 nt
Organism: Panicum virgatum (switchgrass)
Lineage: Eukaryota; Viridiplantae; Streptophyta; Magnoliopsida; Poales; Poaceae
Exons: 3
Source: RefSeq, a predicted model, not a curated record